UUUCUUUUCUUACUUUUUUCUUCUCUAAACUUUUUGGGCACUAAACCUGCAGCUUCUAACCCCAAUUUUCAGCACAUCUAAACCCUAGGAGAAGAAGAAAGAAACAGAAAGAAAGGAAGAAAAGCUUGGUUUUGUAAUUCAAGCAAGCUAAGCUUGAUGAUUAAUAUUUUGAAGGAAUAUUGGAGUGCAAGCACAGGUCAAGCAACCAUAAAGGAAUUGCAACAGUAAAGGUAGAGUACUGUGGUGGUGUACUUAGGAAAAUAACGAGCAACCGGGAAGUAAGAAUAGCUAGAUACGCCUCCGAACAAAUAGCGAUGUAAUAUCCUGCUAUUGUAAGUGAAAUUGCAUUCUCAUUGUAGUGAGAAAUUCUCGGGUGUUAGGGGCUUACAACAGCCUUGGAGUUCGCUGCAAUGAGUUGCUCACUGUGGUUUUCGUUGCAGCGAGAUUCAUUCUCGCUGCAACGAGAAACUCUUGGGUUUGGUUCAAAAACCUGUGCUCUGAAUUUCGCUGCAGCAAGAAUGCCUCUUCGCUACAGCAAGAAUCUUUCGAUCAUGUUUACCUUGUUUAUAUCUUACUAUGGUUUUCACUCAUUUAUCUUCAUGGUUGAUCUUGGGUUUUUCAACACUAAGAGAUGACUAAUCAAAGUUUUGAAAUAAGGGGUUUUAACAAGAAAUUAAGUUAAAUUGCAUGAUUUUAGCAAAAGUGCAUCAUGAUUUUAAAACUUUCCAUAUCAUAUGCUUAUUCCCUUCUUAUGUUCACUCAUUGGGUUUAUACUCACGUUUUUAAACUUCAUGU
Theobroma cacao (cacao) is the source of this 795-nucleotide non-coding RNA. The record is from RefSeq and is a predicted model, not a curated record. NCBI's taxonomy places the organism in Eukaryota, Viridiplantae, Streptophyta, Magnoliopsida, Malvales, Malvaceae.